RNAcentral lists this long non-coding RNA (4880 nucleotides) under Heterocephalus glaber (naked mole-rat). RNAcentral's name for it is "lncRNA (ENSHGLG00000033560.1)". Lineage: Eukaryota; Metazoa; Chordata; Mammalia; Rodentia; Bathyergidae. The record is from RNAcentral.
AAGAAAAGAAAAAAAGAAAGAAAUACAAAGUAGACCACAUGUAUAAAUCAGAAAUAUGAAAUGGGUCAUGUGUUUAAUUUAAAAUAUAAUGUGAGCCACAAUAAUGUGAUUCAGAAAUACACUGCAAGCCACAUAUGUAAUUUAAAUUUUUUUCUGGUAGCCACAAUAAAAAGAUAGAAAGGAAGUGGUGAAAUAAUUUUAGUAAACUAUUUUAUGUAACUCAAUAUAUCCAAAGGUCAUCAAUUUCACCCUGUACCCACUAUUUUUAAAAUAUUGCUGGGAGUAGUGGCACACGCUUGCAAUCCCAGCACUCAGGAGACUGAACUACGGGCUAUCUCAGUAAGUGUUUUUAAAUAUUAGUGAUAUAUUCUGUUAUGAGUUUGUUUGUUUUUUGUUUUUGAGACAGGGUCUCACUACGUAUCCCAGGCUGGCCCCAAACUUUCAAUGAUCUUCCUGCCUCAGCCUCCCGAGUGCUGGGAUUACAGGCAUGCACCACCAUGACCUGCUAGUUCUUAAUUUAUGAGUUAGAGAAAACUCACUUUAAGACGUGGUUCCUCGUUGCUCCAGCCAUGUUUGAGGUGUCGGUACCAUGUUUGGUGCCACCACAUUGGACAGUACAGGUGUGGUGGUGCACAAAGCAAGCUGAGCUGGUCUCCCCUGCACGCAUCCCAGCCCCACCAGGUCAAGAGUCUUUCUUUUAAGAAACACCCUGUAAAGCCUCUCCAGCCUUCCAUACAUUCUGCUUGCAAGGCUCCCCAGGUUCAGUGAAAUGAAUGUCAUCUUCCGAAUCUUAUUUUCCUCUCCUCCUCUUUGCUUGGAUUCUCUGCCGGUCUAAUCCAUUCACUGUCCACCUGGUGUCGGGCGCUUCUGGAGCUCCCCUCCAGGGUGGGUGGGAGGCGAGGUGGGGAAGUGGAGACCCCCAGCCAGGGGUCUGUGAUGCAGCCAAGCCCUGAGGCUGUGCCAUCUCUUUCUCUUCUAGGACAUUAGGUUAUACUGUGCAGUUAUGACAGGCUGUCCCACACUAUGCCUACCUAUUCGUUUGUGGCUGCAGCACACUUCGCAUUCCCCCAAAUGCUCUGCACAUUCUGACUCCGCAAUCCACUAACCAGGCUGUGGGUGCAGAAGGCCUGAGCCAAAAACCUUAGCAUGUGGGCCACUUGGUGAAGAAAACAGCUGUUUCUCUAGCUUCCUGGUUCUUCAGCAGUCUUCAAUUUCCUGGCGCCUCCUGUGUGUCCCCUUGCUUCACUGGGUGGUUCCAAGUUCCCUACUCCAUCUCCCUUCUCCCCUGCUGUUAGGGUAAACUGAGGCAUGCCCGAGACCACCAGAGCAGGCAAAAAUGAAGCAACAAGCUAGGUUUUAUUUCCAGCUUGGGUGCAGGCUAGUCAAGGGUGACAAAGCCAUUGACCCUGGGGGCUUGGGUGAGGGGAAACUUUAUAGGGGACUUUGGGUAGGGGAGGGGUGCUGCCAGGAGGAGUGGAAAUUUUUGUCCUGGAGUGGAGGAAGUCUUUUGAUCUAGGGUGGAGGGCGUCUGGUGGUCUCCAGGGGUAUCUAGGCCCGCAGAUGUUGCUGCAUGGGUCAAGCUGCUUUUCUCGAACCCAACUUAGCUUCCUGUUAUCCUUUGCAUCUUGCAGGAUGUGUAACUGCAUUGUCUGGCAAGUUUUCUCUUCCACCUGGGGGGGGGGGUCUGACACCUGCUCUCUCUUUCCUCCAUCUCUCCAGCUGUUCUAACUUUCACUUCCAUGUCUCCUCUUCCCUGGCCCCAUUUCCCUAGCUCUGGCCUCUCAUUCCCAGUUCACCCACACAUGCGCCCCCCUUUCCAUGUCACUGUCCACAUCCAUGUCCUCCCUUCCCCUCAGCCCCAGCUCAGCUGUGUCUUUGUAAGAGUCAAGGGUUUCAAUUCCUUGACUCAGAGUUGAUUCCUCCAGAUCUGGAGAAGAAACUCAAGGAAAGGAAAUCAAGGCAUGAUGCCAUCACAGAGAGCCUGAAGAAAUGCAGAGACAACCUCCAGGCUGACAGGAAGAAAGACUGAAUCAGGCUCCUCAAUGGCAUGGAUGGAAAUGCUGCGAAGAGCUCUAAGUGGGGACUGAUGGCUGCUUGCUGCCAUUAGGGGAAAGUAAGAAACACAAAGCUGGAGAAUCCUCUCUUUACAGGAACGCAGACCCUAUGUGGGUAAAUGGCCACUGAGCCAACUGAGGAUGGGCUCAUGUGGAUUUAUUUUAUUAUUUGAAACUCAGGUAAUUCCUGAAAUUUAAAAGUAUUCUAAAGUAGUAGAAAUAGAUAAAUUUAUUUUUUCAUUGCUCAGAGAUAGAGGGAAAAUUGAGACAAGGAGAAGGAGCCGGUCAGUCUCUGAGGUUGGUAUAAGCUGACCUACCGGGUACCAGGUGCAGCUAGCUCUCUGGCCAACCCCUCCCUGCGGGGUCAGGACAGCCGAAAGGUGGAGUCCCAGGGUCAUGUGGAAGUCAUCAAAGAUGGCUCUGGCAGCACAGGACUCUGGCUCACUAUGUGGGCAUCUGGUGUGGAUCUGACACAGUAUUUCAAAACAUGAAGGGCAGGGGAUUUAGCUCAGUGGCACCGCACCUACCUUACCUAAGGUUCAAUACCUGGUACCAAAAAAUAAAACAAAACUAAAAACCCCACCAGAACAAGUUCCAAGGUCAACGUUACUAUCAGCAAUUUACCGUGAGGCCCUGGAACCUCAGGAAGGAGAGGUAUGUGUCCCCGGCCACGUGACUUAAGUGAAAGACAGAAUCAGAACUUGUUUCUCCAAAGCCACAGCGCAGGAUUUAGGGCUCCGUUCCAUCCGCGUUUCCCCACAAGGGGCCUACUGCUGCCUGGAGAGGAUGCCUUUGCUGUGCCCUGAGACUCAGUCUGCCCGCUGAGAGUCCUGCAGCAGCACAGUCCCAGCACUCUGGGCCAGGAGGGGCCCCUUCCCCUGGGGGGGGGGGGCUUCUGUUGCCAAGAGAAACCAAUCCCUUUCUCUUCCCCACGGAUGACCCAGAACCACUGACGGUCGUUAGGGACGAGGACAACGUGUUUGCUUUUAAUGCGCAGCCUGUGGUUAUCAAGGCCAAGACUUGUUUUCUCUGCCAGUUAGAGAAGGCUUAUCCGGAGUCACCCUCCCCAGCAGGGCCCGCGUGGACACUGGCUCCCCUGUCGGGCGGGGAGAGGCGGACCACAUGGAGGACCAGGCGAGAAGGCACCGAACCGGCCCUUGGGGGAAGCCUGGGGAGCGGGCUGCAGAAUGGACUCCCUGACCUGGGGCCCCGCUCCCUGGCCUAAGUUAGGUGGAAUGAACAACUGUUCUCACUUCCCACCUGAGAUGAAGGAGCAUGGAAAGAGCGGGGGGGGGGGGGGUGGCAUUCGGACACUGGAGCAGGACCGGGGUGGGGUAGGGAGUGGACGCCAGUUCGUGGAGACUUCGCUGCUCGGGCAGAUGUGGGGUGUCAGGCCGUGUCUCACCCGUGUCCUCUGCUCCCCAGCGACCCCCUCGCCAGGAAACCCCGGCCCUCACACGCUUACCACUGCCACAGGUUAGUCUCGGGCGCUGGAGGAGCCCUGGUGCCCGGUGCCCCUCGCCGUCUCCUCUGUGCUGCCCUCUCCCUCAAAGGCUCCGGAACAACCAAGCGAGGGUCACCAAACCGCUAGCCCUCGAUUCCGCUCGCGCCUGUCCCGGCGUCCUUGGCUGAGAAAGCGUCCGGCGCCGCGCUUCCCGCAGGCGGAGCCUGCUCGGACCGGGAGCUGGGGGCCCACCAGGAGCUGCAGGUGGCGCCGAGUGGUGGCUGAGGGCGAGCGGACCGUGCGCCUGGAGACGGGCGUGGGGUGGAGACCACGGGAUGGCGGGCACGUUCCUGGGCCAAACCCGGGGACCGGGCUCCUCCCGCCGCCUUGGCCGAGGCGCCCCUGGUGGACGAAGGCGCUCACCACACCUGUCUCCCCGCGGUUUCCGACUCGGGCCCACCGCACCCCGCUUCUGAACAAGCACUGAGGUGAGUCAGGCCCGCCUGCCACGAUCCUAGGCGCUCCACGAGCCUGACACUCAGCAUCUCACAUCCCCACCUCCUCCAUUUCUCCCAGUCCUCUAUCCACGAAGGGAACAGUAACAUCAAAGCAACGAUGGAAAUCCGAUACAAAUCCGAAGGUGGAAUGCGGUCCCCAUGCCUAAAGCUGCAAGAGAGACCGGAGCCACAGCUGCUCGGCCGAGUGAAAGGGGGACGGCUCGUCCGGCCUUCGUACCCUGACCCUCCGUCGGGAUCCUACGGGCGUGCGGGAGCGGGGCCUGCAGGAGCCGCGCAGCCUUCCCUCCGCACCCCAACUCCCUUCCCCUCUCAAGUUUGAGGCUCACUUUGGAAACUUACCUGAGCUCAGAAAGUCUGAGCCUCGACCGACCUCGCAUUAUCCCGACGCCGGCUUCCGUUAGGUGUGGGGGUCAGGGCCACGGGACACGGGGAAGAAAAGCUGAUCUACCUUUGGGGGCUGCAGCGACCCCACCUCCACCGUGGGGCGGCCCCUCUGCGCCCAAGAACAGCACACAGCGACGCCAGGGCCCUGGUGCAGCGCCUGGACCGCGGGGAGCUGGACCCGCCCGGCCUGGGGCGCAGCAGGGAGCUCAGAAGCAGGCCGCCGACUCAGGCCGUGCCUCACCUUCCUCCCACGGCCCCAGGGACCCUGCACGCGGCCACGGCUCACCCAGACCUCAUCCUUUAGAGGCUGUAAAGACGCUGACGCCGGCCUUCGACCCGCGGGAUACUGGGGAUGCGGACAAGCCCGCCGACGCCGAAAGCUCCCAGCCCUCAGCUGCGCAUCACGCUCGCCGGUGGCUCCUCGGGCCUCAGCCGCGCCUGGGGCGGAACUCGUGGGCCAGGGGCGGGGCUCGCGGGUCC